Molecule: ribosomal RNA, 497 nt
Filed under: uncultured bacterium
Lineage: Bacteria
Description: partial 16S ribosomal RNA
Rfam family: Bacterial small subunit ribosomal RNA
Source: RNAcentral
GAUGAACGCUGGCGGCGUGCCUAAUACAUGCAAGUCGAGCGAACGGACGAGAAGCUUGCUUCUCUGAUGUUAGCGGCGGACGGGUGAGUAACACGUGGAUAACCUACCUAUAAGACUGGGAUAACUUCGGGAAACCGGAGCUAAUCCCGGAUAAUAUUUUGAACCGCAUGGUUCAAAAGUGAAAGACGGUCUUGCUGUCACUUAUAGAUGGAUCCGCGCUGCAUUAGCUAGUUGGUAAGGUAACGGCUUACCAAGGCAACGAUGCAUAGCCGACCUGAGAGGGUGAUCGGCCACACUGGAACUGAGACACGGUCCAGACUCCUACGGGAGGCAGCAGUAGGGAAUCUUCCGCAAUGGGCGAAAGCCUGACGGAGCAACGCCGCGUGAGUGAUGAAGGUCUUCGGAUCGUAAAACUCUGUUAUUAGGGAAGAACAGAUGUGUAAGUAACUGUGCACAUCUUGACGGUACCUAAUCAGAAAGCCACGGCUAACUACGUG